AUACUUACCUGGCAGAGGAGAUACCAUAAUCCUGAAGGUGGUUUCCCCAGGGCAAGGAAUAUCCACUGCACUCUGGAUAUGCUGACCACUAUGAUUUCCCUGAAUGUGAGACACUCAUCGACAUAAUUUGUGGUAGUGGGGUGCUGCAUUCACGUUCUCCCCUU
Molecule: small nuclear RNA, 164 nt
Organism: Suncus etruscus (white-toothed pygmy shrew)
Lineage: Eukaryota; Metazoa; Chordata; Mammalia; Eulipotyphla; Soricidae
Product: U1 spliceosomal RNA
Exons: 1
Source: RefSeq, a predicted model, not a curated record